UUUCUUGGUCCCUUUUUUAAGAAGUAAAAGUCGUAACAAGGUCUCCGUUGGUGAACCAGCGGAGGGAUCAUUACAGAGUUAUACAACUCCCAUACCAUCUGUUAACCUACCCAGUUAUGCCUCGGCGUAAGCUCGGUUGGAGGCACCUGCAGCUACCCUGUAGUUGCGGACUGCCAACUCCAGCCGCGGCCCGCCGGCGGUACACUAAACUCUGUUUUAUUUUAUAUUCUGAGCGUCUUAUUUUAAUAAGUUAAAACUUUCAACAACGGAUCUCUUGGUUCUGGCAUCGAUGAAGAACGCAGCGAAAUGCGAUAAGUAAUGUGAAUUGCAGAAUUCAGUGAAUCAUCGAAUCUUUGAACGCACAUUGCGCCCAUCAGUAUUCUGGUGGGCAUGCCUGUUCGAGCGUCAUUUCAACCCUUAAGCCUAGCUUAGUGUUGGGAAUCUGCUGUACUGCAGUUCCUUAAAGACAGUGGCGGAGCGGCGGUAGUCCUCUGAGCGUAGUAAUUUAUUUCUCGCUUUUGUCAGGCUCUGUCCUCCCGCCAUAAAACCCCCAAUUUUUUAGUGGUUGACCUCGGAUCAGGUAGGAAUACCCGCUGAACUUAAGCAUACAAUUAAAGCGGGAGGAAA
RNAcentral lists this ribosomal RNA (627 nucleotides) under fungal endophyte. RNAcentral describes it as "eukaryotic LSU rRNA". The stretch from base 255 to 408 matches the Rfam family "5.8S ribosomal RNA". Lineage: Eukaryota; Fungi. The record is from RNAcentral.